Long non-coding RNA from Piliocolobus tephrosceles (Ugandan red Colobus), 1620 nucleotides. Lineage: Eukaryota; Metazoa; Chordata; Mammalia; Primates; Cercopithecidae. The record is from Ensembl.
AUGGGGCAAGUAGGCCAAUAUGAUUUAUCAGUACUACAGAGUGGAGCGCCAGCACCUGUACCAGUGCCCACCCAUGCUAUUCCAAGCAUAGCAAAAAACAAAUUACUAUAUAUAAAAGAAUUAAACAAACUGAUGCAAGAAGUUGAAAUAUUUAAUUUACAAAAUUCACAUAUAAAAUUUGUAUUAACAACCAAGGUUCCCUUUUCUGUCGAUUCAGAUGUAAUAGAAUUAAGGGGUAAAGAGAAAAAAAAAGUGCGUGUGUUUUUUGAUGUGGAUUUUAUGAAUAAUAAAAUAAAUGCGACAUACGAAGAAAUUUUAAUAGUUAAUUUUUUUGAAAAUAAUAGAAGACAGAAAUUUGAUUUAAUCGGUGAAACUAUUUAUCCAAAUAUAAAACUUAGUAGAACGUUAAUAGAUUUUCAAUAUAUUUUAAAAAAUUUAUUUUCUCAAGAAACGAUUGAAAUUGAAAACGUAUGUAAUUUUAAAGUCUUUUUUAAAUGGUAUUUUGACGAAAAAAAUCGAAUGUAUAAAAGUGUGGGUGGUGGUAUCGAUAAUGUUUUUAAUAUAAGCCCAAGUAAGGGGUACUUAUUACCAUUAGAAAAAAAAAACAUAACAGUUACAUUUGCUAGCACAUCUAGUGAAAAUUAUUAUAACAUAAAUAUGAUAUGUCAAGUGAAAAAUGGAGCCAUAUAUACUUUGAAAUUACUAGCUGGACACUCAGAUAUUGUAUAUACUAUUAAUAAAACAGAACUAAAUUAUGAUAUUCAUUACAAAUCAAUAGGAGAAGACAUUAUAACAAUACAUAAUACCGGGAAAAUCCAAUUAUUUAUUGAAAUAAUUUAUACUAUAAAAUUACCAUCUUUAUUAUAUACUAACAUAAAUAAUUUUUUUAUCGAAGCACAAACUAGUAAAGACAUUAUUUUUUAUUUUCUGCCUGCAAUUCCGUUAGUGUUAACUGAAUCUAUUUUAAUAAAAAUUUGUAACUUCGAGGAAAUUAAAAUCAAAUUAAAUGCAAAGGCUUGGUAUAGUCUAUUGUAUUUAUAUGUGGAUGAUAAUAAAAGUUAUAAAAAUGUAAUAAGUAUAACUAAAAAAAAAAAAAUAAAAAAUGAGCGGUGUGUAUUUUCAUCACUAUCUGAUGGGGAAGAUAAUGCCAAUGGCGACGACAAAGGCAACGACAAUGAAAACAAAAAUGAUAACAAAUAUGAUAACAAAAAUGAUAACAAAAAUGAUAACAAAAAUGACAAUGAUAACGAAAAUGACAGUGAAAACGACGAUGAACAGUUUGACACAAGCUAUACUGGAAAUUACAAAGAAAGGAAAAAAAAAGAAUUUAAUUAUAUCAACAAUUUGAUAAAUAACACUUUGUUAUUUACUGAUGACAGCUGUUAUUAUGAAAAGCAGAAAAAGGUGCUUAUUAAAAAUUUAAAAAAAAUGUAUUUUACUAUUUUUUUAUUGCUCCGAAAAAGUAUUCAAGAAAUUUUAGAUAUUUAUUACGAAAGGAUAGAUAUGCAUGAUAAAAGUAGCAAGAGUGGUGAGUCAAAAGAUGACAAACCUAGCAGUAAUACACAUUCAAAUGAACUGGCAGACUCAAAUAAUGACACAAAAAAAAAAUACGAUCUUAUA